This is a long non-coding RNA of Cavia porcellus (domestic guinea pig), 1050 nucleotides long. RefSeq lists it as uncharacterized. NCBI's taxonomy places the organism in Eukaryota, Metazoa, Chordata, Mammalia, Rodentia, Caviidae. The record is from RefSeq and is a predicted model, not a curated record. The transcript is spliced from 5 exons.
AUGAUUUUGCUUGUUUUGAACCUGAAUACAUGGAUUUUGUGCAGUGCAUUUUCAGGGUUAAACCAGAACCUCCCCCCUCCCAUCUCCAAACAAUCAAUAAGAAAAACUUCAGGUAACACAAUUAGUCCCUCCUGGUGAGAACAGUUCACAGCAUUUUGUAACUGCUCUUCACAGGUCCCUGCUGCUGCUGACUAAGACUGCCUCCACCCUCAAGGGGUCAAGAGGCCCCCCAGCCAUGUGUCUUUGGGCAGCGCCCAGUAGAGGAAGUGCAGCGGGGCAUGGAGGAUGUGCGGAGGCUCUGCAGGAGGAGGAUUAAUGGGGCUGGAAUGCCUGCACUCCCAUCAUCCCUCACACCUCUCAUCAGCCCGAGACCUCAGUGGCUAAGUCAAACACAUGGAUGCUUCCACGGCCAGGAGGAGAAUGGCAAGGACGCCAACAGUGGCCACAGGAAUGAUUACGGGGCACUGCCUAUGGCAAGUCCAGCCUUUUACAGAGACUAAUCUCCCAGCAAGCCAGAGGACAGGCACCAUUGUAGCUCCAACAUCCAGAGAGGUCAGGGAACCUGCUCAAGGUAUACCAGCAAGGACAAUCUGGAGGCACCGCUGGAAAUGCAUGCCCGGAGAGAAACCGGACAGUCCUGCCAGCUGCAUCUGUGAUUCCCUGGAAAUGAGACUGUGGGACAGACACACAGGAGUAGCAAUCAUGUCCAAGUCGGGAAAUGCAGGACUACAGCAGUGGGUGUCGUUCCCAUUGCCUGGGUGCAUACAGAGCCUUUCAGACAAACAGAAGAAGGCAACUCUGCUGUGCAGGGACUCCUGUAAAACUACAGCAGAUGAAGAGGAAAAGACAAUCAAGGGCACGCCAAUGAAGCUGAAUUCACCAAGCCCAGAAUAUUUUGAAAAGUAACCUUGUUCUUAUUAAUUUCAUACUGGCUGCAAAGGAGAGGAAGAAAAAAAAUACAUUGUUUGCAAUCCAUCACUUGCUCAAUAAAAAAUGGUCUAAAGAUAUAAAACUGUGAUUUGUAAACAACUUUAAAAAAAAUUCCUGGAA